RNAcentral lists this ribosomal RNA (425 nucleotides) under uncultured bacterium. RNAcentral describes it as "bacterial SSU rRNA". It matches the Rfam family "Bacterial small subunit ribosomal RNA", at positions 356 to 773 of the family's 1533-position model. The record is from RNAcentral.
GGGGAAUUUUGGACAAUGGGGGAAACCCUGAUCCAGCCAUUCCGCGUGAGUGAAGAAGGCCUUCGGGUUGUAAAGCUCUUUCAGCAGGAACGAAACGGUCGGCUUUAAUACAGUCGGCUAAUGACGGUACCUGCAGAAGAAGCACCGGCUAACUACGUGCCAGCAGCCGCGGUAAUACGUAGGGUGCGAGCGUUAAUCGGAAUUACUGGGCGUAAAGCGUGCGCAGGCGGCGACAUAAGACAGAUGUGAAAUCCCCGGGCUCAACCUGGGAACUGCGUUUGUGACUGUGUUGCUAGAGUGUAGCAGAGGGGGGUGGAAUUCCACGUGUAGCAGUGAAAUGCGUAGAGAUGUGGAGGAACACCGAUGGCGAAGGCAGCCCCCUGGGUUAACACUGACGCUCAUGCACGAAAGCGUGGGGAGCAAAC